AGAAAACCGGGGCUAAUACCGGACAACAUUUUGAACCGCAUGGUUCGAAAUUGAAAGGCGGCUUCGGCUGUCACUUAUGGAUGGACCCGCGUCGCUUAUCUAGUUGGUGAGGUAACGGCUCACCAAGGCAACGAUGCGUAGCCGACCUGAGAGGGUGAUCGGCCACACUGGGACUGAGACACGGCCCAGACUCCUACGGGAGGCAGCAAUAAGGAAUCUUCCGUAAUGGACGAAAGUCUGACGGAGCAACGCCACGUGAGUGAUGAAUGCUUUCGGGUCGUAAAACUCUGUUGUUAUGGAAGAACAAGUGCUUUUGAAUAACCUGGCACCUUGAUGGUACCUAACCAGUAAGCCACGGUUAACUACUUGUCACCAUCCGCGGUAAUACGUAGGUGGCAAGCGUUAUCCGGAAGUAUUGGGCGUAAAGCGCGCUCAGGUGGUUUCUUAGUCUGAUGUGAAAGCCCCACGG
This 469-nucleotide ribosomal RNA is filed under the name Bacillus sp. TRL335. RNAcentral's name for it is "bacterial SSU rRNA". It matches the Rfam family "Bacterial small subunit ribosomal RNA", at positions 151 to 608 of the family's 1533-position model. The record is from RNAcentral. Lineage: Bacteria; Bacillati; Bacillota; Bacilli; Caryophanales; Bacillaceae.